Molecule: long non-coding RNA, 249 nt
Filed under: Medicago truncatula (barrel medic)
Lineage: Eukaryota; Viridiplantae; Streptophyta; Magnoliopsida; Fabales; Fabaceae
Description: long non-coding RNA (MTRU_LNC000566)
Source: RNAcentral
CUUCUCUCAAGGGAGGGGGGUGAAAUAUUUUCUAAUAUGUUUUGAAUAAGAGGGGAGGGGAGUGUAUAUUUUAACAUAAGAGGGGAGGGGAGUGUAAUUCAAGCAUCUUUGAGGGGAGGGGAGUGUAAUUUACUCUUAUUAUUAUUAUUAUUAUUAUUAUUAUAAUUAUUUUUUUUAUUUUUUUAUUUUUUUUAUUAGGUUAUAUUAUCCUUGUAACAACUUUUAUUCCAUAUUAUUAACAACUUUUCU